This 497-nucleotide ribosomal RNA is filed under the name uncultured bacterium. RNAcentral describes it as "partial 16S ribosomal RNA". It matches the Rfam family "Bacterial small subunit ribosomal RNA", at positions 28 to 507 of the family's 1533-position model. The record is from RNAcentral.
GACGAACGCUGGCGGCGUGCCUAAUACAUGCAAGUUGAGCGCUGAAGGUUGGUACUUGUACCAACUGGAUGAGCAGCGAACGGGUGAGUAACGCGUGGGGAAUCUGCCUUUGAGCGGGGGACAACAUUUGGAAACGAAUGCUAAUACCGCAUAAAAACUUUAAACACAAGUUUUAAGUUUGAAAGAUGCAAUUGCAUCACUCAAAGAUGAUCCCGCGUUGUAUUAGCUAGUUGGUGAGGUAAAGGCUCACCAAGGCGAUGAUACAUAGCCGACCUGAGAGGGUGAUCGGCCAAAUUGGGACUGAGACACGGCCCAAACUCCUACGGGAGGCAGCAGUAGGGAAUCUUCGGCAAUGGACGAAAGUCUGACCGAGCAACGCCGCGGGAGUGAAGAAGGUUUUCGGAUCGUAAAACUCUGUUGGUAGAGAAGAACGUUGGUGAGAGUGGAAAGCUCAUCAAGUGACGGUAACUACCCAGAAAGGGACGGCUAACUACGUG